This 76-nucleotide transfer RNA is filed under the name Thermodesulfobium narugense. Its description in RNAcentral is "tRNA-Lys". It matches the Rfam family "tRNA". From Rfam's summary of the family: Transfer RNA (tRNA) molecules are approximately 80 nucleotides in length. Their secondary structure includes four short double-helical elements and three loops (D, anti-codon, and T loops). Lineage: Bacteria; Pseudomonadati; Thermodesulfobiota; Thermodesulfobiia; Thermodesulfobiales; Thermodesulfobiaceae. The record is from RNAcentral. RNAcentral also lists the same sequence under 3 other names.
GGGUCGUUAGCUCAGUUGGUAGAGCAGCUGACUCUUAAUCAGCGGGUCAGAGGUUCGAAUCCUCUACGACCCACCA